UUUAAACAGAAAACACGUUUAUCUUACGCUGUGGUGAAUUAAAAUAAUAUCUGUAUUAAAUAACAUAUCUGCGUAAUUAAAAAGAAGAUUGAGGAAGCUGAUUUUAUAACUAAGAGAAGAAAGAUUGGGAAAAAUAAAAAUGGAGUUGAUUAGGAAAAAUGAUUAAAAGGAUAAGGAAAGCCGAACAUCUAGAAUAAAACAUGAAAAAGAAGUACACAAUACACUCAUUUAUUUAACGAAGAAAAAAAGAGAAAGAAAAAAAAGAAAAAAGAGAGACAUGAAAGAGAGAGAAAAAGAGUG
Molecule: long non-coding RNA, 300 nt
Organism: Camponotus floridanus (Florida carpenter ant)
Lineage: Eukaryota; Metazoa; Arthropoda; Insecta; Hymenoptera; Formicidae
Exons: 3
Source: RefSeq, a predicted model, not a curated record